UCUAAAAAAAAUAAAGAGAAUCGGAAGAAACAACUGAUUAACCACGCGGCAGGCUCGAAGAGUUUUGCGCGAAUACGUGAGGAAGAGAGGAAAAGGGCCAAUGGGUCGGAUCUGAGCCGGGCAGAUAUGUUUAUCUUGACUCAUACAUGCAAAGAUGGGAAGCCUGUGGAUGAGGCCUCAUCAGUAGUAAUGACAAAACUCAAUGAAGAAAUAUCUCAGCAACCCAGGGCCUCACAGAGUAGCACGGCAAGAGAUAAUCUAUUAUCUCAAGUCAUGGGAGAAGACAAGUAUGGUCGUGUCCGCACUUAUGGGUUAGGACCAUCUCCAUCUGAUUUCUGGGUGCAACAUC
This is a long non-coding RNA of Magnolia sinica, 349 nucleotides long. RefSeq lists it as uncharacterized. NCBI's taxonomy places the organism in Eukaryota, Viridiplantae, Streptophyta, Magnoliopsida, Magnoliales, Magnoliaceae. The transcript has 3 exons. The record is from RefSeq and is a predicted model, not a curated record.